RNAcentral lists this ribosomal RNA (492 nucleotides) under uncultured bacterium. Its description in RNAcentral is "partial 16S ribosomal RNA". It matches the Rfam family "Bacterial small subunit ribosomal RNA", at positions 29 to 507 of the family's 1533-position model. The record is from RNAcentral.
AGUGAACGCUGGCGGUAGGCCUAACACAUGCAAGUCGAACGGCAGCACAGUAAGAGCUUGCUCUUACGGGUGGCGAGUGGCGGACGGGUGAGGAAUACAUCGGAAUCUACUUUUUCGUGGGGGAUAACGUAGGGAAACUUACGCUAAUACCGCAUACGACCUACGGGUGGAAGCAGGGGAUCUUCGGACCUUGCGCGAUUGAAUGAGCCGAUGUCGGAUUAGCUAGUUGGCGGGGUAAAGGCCCACCAAGGCGACGAUCCGUAGCUGGUCUGAGAGGAUGAUCAGCCACACUGGAACUUAGACGCGGUCCAUGCUCCUACGGGAGGCAGCAGUGGGGAAUAUUGGACAAUGGUCGCAAUCCUGAUCCAGCCAUACCGCGUGGGUGAAGAAGGCCUUCGGGUUGUAAAGCCCUUUUGUUGGGAAAGAAAAGCAGCAGGUUAAUACCCCGCUGUUCUGACGGUACCCAAAGAAUAAGCACCGGCUAACUUCGUG